Molecule: transfer RNA, 72 nt
Filed under: Camelus bactrianus (Bactrian camel)
Lineage: Eukaryota; Metazoa; Chordata; Mammalia; Artiodactyla; Camelidae
Also listed under: 2 other names
Rfam family: tRNA
About the family: Transfer RNA (tRNA) molecules are approximately 80 nucleotides in length.
Source: Rfam by way of RNAcentral
GAGCGUAUAGCUCAAAUGGUAGAGUGCAUGCUCAGCAUGCAUGAGGUCUUGGGUUCAAUCCCAGUACCUCCA